GGCGAACGGGUGAGUAACACGUGGGUAAUCUGCCCUGCACUCUGGGAUAAGCCUGGGAAACUGGGUCUAAUACUGGAUAUGACCUUUCUCCUUAUGGGGUUUGGUGGAAAGUUUUUCGGUGUAGGAUGAGCCCGCGGCCUAUCAGCUUGUUGGUGGGGUGAUGGCCUACCAAGGCGACGACGGGUAGCCGGCCUGAGAGGGUGAUCGGCCACAUUGGGACUGAGAUACGGCCCAG
Molecule: ribosomal RNA, 235 nt
Filed under: uncultured Actinomycetales bacterium
Lineage: Bacteria; Bacillati; Actinomycetota; Actinomycetes; Actinomycetales
Description: partial 16S ribosomal RNA
Rfam family: Bacterial small subunit ribosomal RNA
Source: RNAcentral